AUGUUUCAGAAGAUAUCAUAGGCUGCGGUCGAGAAGACGCUCUGGAUGCUUUGAAACAUCAUUCUAUCUUUGUUCUAUAUUCUAUGAGAAUAAAGAUAGAAUGAUGUUUCGGAGCAUUCGUAAUGCAGUCUUGACCGCAGCCAUAAAAAUAACAUAUUCAAGAGGCAGGUUUAACCUAAAAAAUUGUAUGUACUAGUGCUAAUAAAAAUACAUUUUUAUUGAUAGUACAAUACAAUAGAAAUUUAGUGCUUAGAAGUGAAUAGACAUUUAAUGCUUUUAAUAAGUGAGUGCAAUAUAAUAAAAAAUACAACGGUAUGUUUCGCAGAUGGAAAAGAUAUCUUCGGAUUUGAUGAUUUUGAUUAAUUAACCUAGGAAUUAUACUGCGACAUGUACUCGUAUUUUGUUGUUUUUUGGGAUGAAUGGUACAAUACCGGAAUGGUACAAUACCGCUACAAUACCGGAUUCUUGAAUUAUCUUAAAGUCUCAAGUUUUUAAAUGGCCACCCAAAAAUAAGAAUGCUACUAAUGAAAGUAAAAGAGGAACAAAGCCUCAAGAAAAAUGGAUAACAGUUCCAUAUUCCAAAUUAUUAGGACCUUUCGAUACUUUCAAAGAAGCGAGAGAAGUUGAGAACAAUACUUUAGAUAUUUCAACGAAUGAUGAAAAACUUGCGGAAGUGACAAAAAGAAAAAUACUGAGGUUUCACAAAAACGUGCAAUUCAAAAACCAUAUCGUUUUCUUUCUUCCUCUUCCAAUUCUUCUUCUGAGGAAGAAGAGGAAAGUCAAACAAAGACAAAAGCUAUUAAGAGGAAGAGUAGUCAACAUUCAAUGAACCAAACAACAAAUAAAAAUCUAAUAGAGACAACAGAAAAUUCAUGUAAUAAUAAACCUCCAACAAAUUACAAAUCACUAAAUGCAAGAGAAUUUUGUCAUACGUCGAUUAAAGAAUCAUGGAAUGAAAAUGAUUACUAGAUUGCACUAAGGAACAAAUUUUUGAGAAAGACGAA
Long non-coding RNA from Camponotus floridanus (Florida carpenter ant), 1004 nucleotides. RefSeq lists it as uncharacterized. NCBI's taxonomy places the organism in Eukaryota, Metazoa, Arthropoda, Insecta, Hymenoptera, Formicidae. The record is from RefSeq and is a predicted model, not a curated record. The transcript has 6 exons.